This 1277-nucleotide long non-coding RNA is filed under the name Capsella grandiflora. RNAcentral's name for it is "long non-coding RNA (CGRA_LNC001027)". The record is from RNAcentral. Lineage: Eukaryota; Viridiplantae; Streptophyta; Magnoliopsida; Brassicales; Brassicaceae.
AAAUAUCACAUUUAAUCAGACGACGAAAGGCUGCAAUGAGCCUUGGGUCCAUGAGAGGACAGAGGCAACUGAGAGACCAUUAUUGAGUUUUUUUUUUCUUCUUCUUCUCUUCUUCUUCGUAUGUAAGGUCUGACGAUUAAGAGUCAUGCAUGAAUUGAUAGAGAGAUUGUAUAAAAAUGGUGCCAGUGCAUAGAUGCAAAGUCAACGGACGAGAAUGAGCCUUUGUUAAUUAUUGAGAUGGUCGUUGACUUCGUUAUUGUACGUUGUUAUAACUUUUAAUGUAUUUUAAGUUGUAUGCCUUGUAUAUAUAUAUUCAUCUUGCAUAAUUUUGUUGUUUUCUUAGAUAUAUAUAGAGUAGUUUGUGUUUUCCUUCGUUUUGCAUAGAUGAUUUCAUUAGAGUUGUACUCAUGGUUUUGGGUGCAAGUUACUACAAUAUAGAUUCGACCUUUUCGGAAGUUUUAUUUUUUAUCCUGUAAAUGAACGAGCCACUAUAAAGCCUUUGGUUAGAAGGGUUUAAUUAGUUCAACGGAGGAAAACAGAACUAAAACAUUUUAAAGAUAAAUGUUUUAUUAUGAUAUUGGAAUAUAACAUCACAAUCUUUGCAGAAACAAAAGAGAAAGAAGGACGACACGAGAGAAAUAAAUAAACUCAAGAGAGAAACACAAUCCGAAGAUGAAUUGAAACGCAUCUCAGAAGAGGAAAGACAAAGCACCGACCAAUGCGGUGGCCAUGAGUUGAGGGUAGGCCGAGAAAGUAGCAGCACUUGGAGCCGGAGCCAUGGGUGGCAUUGGAGCCAUAGCUGGAGCCUUAGCAGGACCAUGGACAUGUCCGUUGUGUGACUCGGCGGUCAUGACCAUCACGGCCAACACAAUGCAGACGAAGGCGAAGCGGAUCAAAGAACUUCUUGGUGCCAUUUGAGUAUUCUUCUUCCCCUUCUUCUUCCUUUUUUUGGUUUCUUUCUUUGAUGUAUGCUUUGUAGGAUCUAUCAACAAAGGGGGUCGAAUUUAUAGAGCGAGAGAGGUCCUAUAGAAAAAUGUUUAGUUGUUUAAAAGUCAACGCAUGAGAAUGAGUCUUGAUGUUGAGAUGGCCCUAAAGUCGUAGUCAUUUAAUUACAUGUUGUUCACUAAGGUUUUAAAAAAAAUGGAAAAAGGACAGAAGGAUAAUGAUGAUGAAUAUGUUAGUGGACAUCCAUUUAUAUGUUUUGCCGUUCUGGAACAGCUGUUACUUCUUCCGUCACACAAGAGGGAUGUUUCUUGACUUAACCACGAUUGACCCGG